UUGGAGGGCAAGUCUGGUGCCAGCAGCCGCGGUAAUUCCAGCUCCAAUAGCGUAUAUUAAAGUUGUUGCAGUUAAAAAGCUCGUAGUUGAAUUUCGGGAUUCGUCGGUUGGUCGGGCUUCACUGUCCGCACUGACCUGACGGGUUCCUACCUUCUGAAUAACCAGCAUGCUAUUAAGUUAGUGCGUUGGGGAAGCAGAGCUAUUACCUUGAAAAAAUUAGAGUGCUUAAAGCAGGCUUGUGCUUGAAUAGGUUAGCAUGGAAUAAUAAAAUAGGACGGCAUGGUUCUAUUUUGUUGGUUUCUAGGAUCACCGUAAUGAUUAAUAGGGAUAGUUGGGGGCAUUAGUAUUCAAUUGUCAGAGGUGAAAUUCUUGGAUUUAUUGAAGACUAACUUCUGCGAAAGCAUUUGCCAAGGAUGUUUUCAUUAAUCAAGAACGAAAGUUAGGGGAUCGAAGACGAUCAGAUACCGUCGUAGUCUUAACCAUAAACUAUGCCGACUAGGGAUCGGACGAUGUUAAUUUUUUAAUGACUCGUUCGGCGCCUUACGGGAAAC
RNAcentral lists this ribosomal RNA (551 nucleotides) under uncultured Acaulospora. Its description in RNAcentral is "SSU rRNA". It matches the Rfam family "Eukaryotic small subunit ribosomal RNA", at positions 548 to 1098 of the family's 1831-position model. The record is from RNAcentral. Lineage: Eukaryota; Fungi; Glomeromycota; Glomeromycetes; Diversisporales; Acaulosporaceae.